RNAcentral lists this ribosomal RNA (254 nucleotides) under uncultured bacterium. RNAcentral's name for it is "partial 16S ribosomal RNA". It matches the Rfam family "Bacterial small subunit ribosomal RNA", at positions 524 to 776 of the family's 1533-position model. The record is from RNAcentral.
UACAGAGGGUGCAAGCGUUGUUCGGAAUUACUGGGCGUAAAGGGCCAGUAGGCGGCCAACUAAGUCGGAUGUGAAAUCCCCAGGCUUAACCUGGGAACUGCAUCCGAUACUGGAUGGCUUGAAUUCGGGAGAGGGAUGCAGAAUUCCAGGUGUAGCGGUGAAAUGCGUAGAUAUCUGGAGGAAUACCGGUGGCGAAGGCGGCAUCCUGGACCGACAUUGACGCUGAACGGCGAAAAGCUAGGGGAGCAAACGGG